RNAcentral lists this ribosomal RNA (491 nucleotides) under uncultured bacterium. RNAcentral describes it as "bacterial SSU rRNA". It matches the Rfam family "Bacterial small subunit ribosomal RNA", at positions 28 to 503 of the family's 1533-position model. The record is from RNAcentral.
GAUGAACGCUGGCGGCGUGCCUAACACAUGCAAGUCGAACGGGGUUAAGUGAAAUUUUCGGAUGGAGCUUAACUUAGUGGCGGACGGGUGAGUAACGCGUGGAUAACCUGCCUCACACUGGGGGAUAGCAGCUGGAAACGGCUGGUAAUACCGCAUAAGACCACAGCACCGCAUGGUGCAGGGGUAAAAGAUUUAUCGGUGUGAGAUGGAUCCGCGUCUGAUUAGCCAGUUGGCGGGGUAACGGCCCACCAAAGCGACGAUCAGUAGCCGGCCUGAGAGGGUGAACGGCCACAUUGGGACUGAGACACGGCCCAAACUCCUACGGGAGGCAGCAGUGGGGAAUAUUGCACAAUGGGCGCAAGCCUGAUGCAGCAACGCCGCGUGAGUGAAGAAGGUUUUCGGAUCGUAAAACUCUGUUGUCAGAGAAGAACAAGUUGGAGAGUAACUGCUCCAGCCUUGACGGUAUCUGACCAGAAAGCCACGGCUAACUA